Molecule: long non-coding RNA, 466 nt
Organism: Olea europaea var. sylvestris
Lineage: Eukaryota; Viridiplantae; Streptophyta; Magnoliopsida; Lamiales; Oleaceae
Exons: 3
Source: RefSeq, a predicted model, not a curated record
AAUCGGAUCGAAUCAAAGGAAAGAGACAAACACCGAGACAAAGUAGUAUGGACGAUGGUGUACCCGAGGUUCUACCUCCUCGUCAACAACAUGCCAUGACGAUGCCAUUCUCAUAUUCGCAACUCCUAUUGGCCGAUGGGGUGAGCCAUGAAUUUACACAACAAGUGCCGUCUUCUACUUUGAUUCCUCCUAUGACCACAAAUGUUAUUUUUAAUUCACAAGGUCCAUAUUUACCCCAUCAUGGUGGGACCAAUUGAAUUCAAGCAAACAGAACAACAAAGUGGACGCAGCUGGUUUUGUUAUAUAUAGAUGUAUGGGCUGCUAAAUGAGAAAAUUGUUAUGAUAAUUUGUUUAGGUGUAAUUUGUUAGAGAAUUAUUUUAGUAUUCGACUACGAGAUGUGUAUGAUAAAUUACUUUUGUUGGUCAUCGUAGUGUGAUGAACUCUCCCUUGCUGCAAUGAACUCUC